RNAcentral lists this ribosomal RNA (1227 nucleotides) under Escherichia coli. RNAcentral describes it as "partial 23S ribosomal RNA". It matches the Rfam family "Bacterial large subunit ribosomal RNA", at positions 1735 to 2925 of the family's 2925-position model. The record is from RNAcentral. Lineage: Bacteria; Pseudomonadati; Pseudomonadota; Gammaproteobacteria; Enterobacterales; Enterobacteriaceae.
UUCGGGAGAAGGCACGCUGAUAUGUAGGUGAAGCGACUUGCUCGUGGAGCUGAAAUCAGUCGAAGAUACCAGCUGGCUGCAACUGUUUAUUAAAAACACAGCACUGUGCAAACACGAAAGUGGACGUAUACGGUGUGACGCCUGCCCGGUGCCGGAAGGUUAAUUGAUGGGGUUAGCGGUAACGCGAAGCUCUUGAUCGAAGCCCCGGUAAACGGCGGCCGUAACUAUAACGGUCCUAAGGUAGCGAAAUUCCUUGUCGGGUAAGUUCCGACCUGCACGAAUGGCGUAAUGAUGGCCAGGCUGUCUCCACCCGAGACUCAGUGAAAUUGAACUCGCUGUGAAGAUGCAGUGUACCCGCGGCAAGACGGAAAGACCCCGUGAACCUUUACUAUAGCUUGACACUGAACAUUGAGCCUUGAUGUGUAGGAUAGGUGGGAGGCUUUGAAGUGUGGACGCCAGUCUGCAUGGAGCCGACCUUGAAAUACCACCCUUUAAUGUUUGAUGUUCUAACGUUGGCCCGUAAUCCGGGUUGCGGACAGUGUCUGGUGGGUAGUUUGACUGGGGCGGUCUCCUCCUAAAGAGUAACGGAGGAGCACGAAGGUUGGCUAAUCCUGGUCGGACAUCAGGAGGUUAGUGCAAUGGCAUAAGCCAGCUUGACUGCGAGCGUGACGGCGCGAGCAGGUGCGAAAGCAGGUCAUAGUGAUCCGGUGGUUCUGAAUGGAAGGGCCAUCGCUCAACGGAUAAAAGGUACUCCGGGGAUAACAGGCUGAUACCGCCCAAGAGUUCAUAUCGACGGCGGUGUUUGGCACCUCGAUGUCGGCUCAUCACAUCCUGGGGCUGAAGUAGGUCCCAAGGGUAUGGCUGUUCGCCAUUUAAAGUGGUACGCGAGCUGGGUUUAGAACGUCGUGAGACAGUUCGGUCCCUAUCUGCCGUGGGCGCUGGAGAACUGAGGGGGGCUGCUCCUAGUACGAGAGGACCGGAGUGGACGCAUCACUGGUGUUCGGGUUGUCAUGCCAAUGGCACUGCCCGGUAGCUAAAUGCGGAAGAGAUAAGUGCUGAAAGCAUCUAAGCACGAAACUUGCCCCGAGAUGAGUUCUCCCUGAGACUUAGAGUCUCCUGAAGGAACGUUGAAGACGACGACGUUGAUAGGCCGGGUGUGUAAGCGCAGCGAUGCGUUGAGCUAACCGGUACUAAUGAACCGUGAGGCUUAACCUUACAACGCCGAAG